UACGGAGGGUGCAAGCGUUAUCCGGAUUCACUGGGUUUAAAGGGUGCGUAGGUGGGCAGGUAAGCCAGUGGUGAAAUCUCCGGGCUUAACCCGGAAACUGCCAUUGAUACUAUUUGUCUUGAAUACUGUGGAGGUCAGCGGAAUAUGUCAUGUAGCGGUGAAAUGCUUAGAUAUGACAUAGAACACCAAUUGCGAAGGCAGCUGGCUACACAAAUAUUGACACUGAGGCACGAAAGCGUGGGGAUCAAACAGG
RNAcentral lists this ribosomal RNA (253 nucleotides) under uncultured bacterium. RNAcentral's name for it is "partial 16S ribosomal RNA". It matches the Rfam family "Bacterial small subunit ribosomal RNA", at positions 524 to 776 of the family's 1533-position model. The record is from RNAcentral.